RNAcentral lists this ribosomal RNA (465 nucleotides) under Vreelandella stevensii. RNAcentral's name for it is "partial 16S ribosomal RNA". It matches the Rfam family "Bacterial small subunit ribosomal RNA", at positions 338 to 795 of the family's 1533-position model. The record is from RNAcentral. Lineage: Bacteria; Pseudomonadati; Pseudomonadota; Gammaproteobacteria; Oceanospirillales; Halomonadaceae.
CCUACGGGGGGCUGCAGUGGGGAAUAUUGGACAAUGGGGGGAACCCUGAUCCAGCCAUGCCGCGUGUGUGAAGAAGGCCCUCGGGUUGUAAAGCACUUUCAGUGAGGAAGAACGCCUGGUGGUUAAUACCCAUCAGGAAAGACAUCACUCACAGAAGAAGCACCGGCUAACUCCGUGCCAGCAGCCGCGGUAAUACGGAGGGUGCGAGCGUUAAUCGGAAUUACUGGGCGUAAAGCGCGCGUAGGUGGCUUGAUAAGCCGGUUGUGAAAGCCCCGGGCUCAACCUGGGAACGGCAUCCGGAACUGUCAAGCUAGAGUGGAGGAGAGGAAGGUAGAAUUGCCGGUGUAGCGGUGAAAUGCGUAGAGAUCGGGAGGAAUACCAGUGGCGAAGGCGGCCUUCUGGACUGACACUGACACUGAGGUGCGAAAGCGUGGGUAGCAAACAGGAUUAGAUACCCCAGUAGUC